AGUGAACGCUGGCGGUAGGCCUAACACAUGCAAGUCGAACGGCAGCACAGUAAGAGCUUGCUCUUACGGGUGGCGAGUGGCGGACGGGUGAGGAAUACAUCGGAAUCUACUUUUUCGUGGGGGAUAACGUAGGGAAACUUACGCUAAUACCGCAUACGACCUACGGGUGAAAGCAGGGGAUCUUCGGACCUUGCGCGAUUGAAUGAGCCGAUGUCGGAUUAGCUAGUUGGCGGGGUAAAGGCCCACCAAGGCGACGAUCCGUAGCUGGUCUGAGAGGAUGAUCCGCCACACUGGAACUGAGACACGGUCCAGACUCCUACGGGAGGCAGCAGUGGGGAAUAUUGGACCAUGGGCGGAAGCCUGAUCCAGCCAUACCGCGUUGGUGAAGAAGGCCUUCGGGUUGUAAAGCCCUUUUGUUGGGAAAGAAAAGCAGCAGGUUAAUACCCCGCUGUUCUGACGGUACCCAAAGAAUAAGCACCGGCUAACUUCGUG
Molecule: ribosomal RNA, 492 nt
Filed under: uncultured bacterium
Lineage: Bacteria
Description: partial 16S ribosomal RNA
Rfam family: Bacterial small subunit ribosomal RNA
Source: RNAcentral